Schizosaccharomyces pombe (fission yeast) is the source of this 937-nucleotide non-coding RNA. NCBI's taxonomy places the organism in Eukaryota, Fungi, Ascomycota, Schizosaccharomycetes, Schizosaccharomycetales, Schizosaccharomycetaceae. The record is from the annotation of a GenBank genome assembly.
UUUCGCGGAAUUUUCAUCUCGAUUAUUUCUGGACUCCAAAUUCUUGGAAAGUUUCGAGACACUUUCUUUAUGCACGUCGGUUUUAUGUUCAUCCUGCUUAGAACUUUUAGAGAUUUUUUCCUUCGAGUUUUUCUUCUUUGCCUUCGGUUUAACCUUGGCUUUCUCGGUCUUCGUUUCAGUCAAGCUGGCUUUCUUAUGGUUCGAAUCUUGACCUUUUAAUUGGGUAUCUGUUGGCCUUUGAACAAUAUCUUUGAUCCUUUCCAAUAGUCCACUUCCUAAUCCAGGAAUGUUGGAAUCAUCAUUUUGAUGAGGAUCGUGAGUAGUAGACGGAUAUGCUUUAUUUUUUGUCUUUCUAUCAAUAGAGCCUUUUUUUUCUAAAGCAGCUUCUCCCUUUAAUAAAUUUCGCUUUUCCUUUCUUCUAAUAUUUGGUUUUAAAUCCAUACUUUGUGAAAAUAUGGAGGUGGUAGUAGAGUUAAGGCAUGCAAUUGUUAAAUUCACUGAGCGCAACUAGGAGAUAUAUUAGGGGCAACAAAAUAAAUGAAAUAAUUUAUACUAAAUGCAAAAUUCUAAACCAUUCAUGGAAAUCAAUAAAAUUGAUAGUCUUGACGUUCGCUCAAAUAUCUACACUACUUCAUUCUAUACUAAGCUACAGUUUCAAAAUUGAUAAAGGGCGUAUAAACUAUACAUCCAAAAAACAUAGCUUUCUAUCUUCCUCAACCAAAUAUCUGCAAGUGUAUGGUUUUUAGUAUACUUCUUGCUUCCUUUUUUGUUUUUUUGUAUCGUACUGAAAGAGCUUAGUAAAUCGAUCUAAACUUGCAAUUGUAAUAUUAGAUUCGUUCAAAAGUUGAUACUAAUCUAUUUAUUAAAGGAUGGCAAUUGAGAAGUCAUAAAGACUAACAUAAUUUUAAUUACUUUUGUAAUUGCAAUUAAAGAAAAA